Molecule: ribosomal RNA, 392 nt
Filed under: uncultured bacterium
Lineage: Bacteria
Description: bacterial SSU rRNA
Rfam family: Bacterial small subunit ribosomal RNA
Source: RNAcentral
GACGAACGCUGGCGGCGUGCUUAACACAUGCAAGUCGAGCGGUAAGGCCCUUUCGGGGGGUACACGAGCGGCGAACGGGUGAGUAACACGUGGGUGACCUGCCCUCAGCUCUGGGAUAAGCCUGGGAAACCGGGUCUAAUACCGGAUAUGACUCCAUGACGCAUGUUGUGGGGUGGAAAGCCUUGUGCGGCUGAGGAUGGGCCCGCGGCCUAUCAGCUUGUUGGUGGGGUGANGGCCUACCAAGGCGACGACGGGUAGCCGGCCUGAGAGGGCGACCGGCCACACUGGGACUGAGACACGGCCCAGACUCCUACGGGAGGCAGCAGUGGGGAAUCUUGCGCAAUGGGCGAAAGCCUGACGCAGCGACGCCGCGUGAGGGAUGACGGCCUCGG